GGCGCGGUGAUCUAGCGGUCAAGAGCAAUGCCUUGGAUGCAUUGAAGCGAUGGUUCGAAUCCAUCCCGCGCCA
This 73-nucleotide transfer RNA is filed under the name Candidatus Bathyarchaeota archaeon. RNAcentral's name for it is "tRNA-Pro". It matches the Rfam family "tRNA". Rfam says of the family: Transfer RNA (tRNA) molecules are approximately 80 nucleotides in length. The record is from RNAcentral. Lineage: Archaea; Thermoproteati; Candidatus Bathyarchaeota.